GAUGAAGAACGCAGCGAAAUGCGAUAGGUAAUGUGAAUUGCAGAAUUCAGUGAAUCAUCGAGUCUUUGAACGCACAUUGCGCCCUCUGGUAUUCCGGAGGGCAUGCCUGUCCGAGCGUCAUUGCUGCCCUCAAGCACGGCUUGUGUGUUGGGCUCCGUCCCCCGAUCCCGGGGGACGGGCCCGAAAGGCAGCGGCGGCACCGCGUCCGGUCCUCGAGCGUAUGGGGCUUUGUCACCCGCUCUGUAGGCCCGGCCGGCGCUUGCCGAUCAACCAAAUUUUUAUCCAGGUUGACCUCGGAUCAGGUAGGGAUACCCGCUGAACUUAAGCAUAUCAAUAAGCGGAGGA
Molecule: unclassified non-coding RNA, 345 nt
Filed under: soil metagenome
Description: partial contains 5.8S ribosomal RNA, internal transcribed spacer 2, and large subunit ribosomal RNA
Rfam family: 5.8S ribosomal RNA (bases 1-120)
Source: RNAcentral